ACCUGGUUGAUCCUGCCAGUAGUCAUACGCUUGUCUCAAAGAUUAAGCCAUGCAUGUCUAAGUAUAAAGGUAUUUACAAUGAAACUGCGAAUGGCUCAUUCAAACAGUUAUAGUUUAUUUGAUAUUCAAACUUAUAUUUAUAUUAGUUUAAAUGGAUAACCGUAGUAAUUCUAGAGUUAAUACAUGCGUUACGGGGGACUUUACGGAACCCCAGUAUUUAUUAGAUUUUAAACCAGCAUUCCGCAAGGUCUACUGAGAUGAUUCAUGAUAACUGAUCGAAUUGCUGGUCUACCAGCAAUAAAUCAUUCAUGUUUCUGCUUCCCAUCAGCUUGAUGGUAGUGUAUUGGACAACCAUGGCAUUCACGGGCUAUCGGGGGAUUAGGGUUCGAUUCCGGAGAGGGAGCCUGAGAAACGGCUACCACUU
This 424-nucleotide ribosomal RNA is filed under the name uncultured ciliate. RNAcentral's name for it is "SSU rRNA". It matches the Rfam family "Eukaryotic small subunit ribosomal RNA", at positions 1 to 415 of the family's 1831-position model. The record is from RNAcentral. Lineage: Eukaryota; Ciliophora.